CGAAAGCCUGACGGAGCAAGACCGCGUGGGGGAAGAAGGCUCUUGGGUUGUAAACCCCUUUUCUCUGGGAAGAAAGUUGUGAAAGCAACCUGACGGUACCAGAGGAAUCAGCAUCGGCUAACUCCGUGCCCGCAGCCGCGGUAAGACGGAGGAUGCAAGCGUUAUCCGGAAUGAUUGGGCGUAAAGCGUCCGCAGGUGGCAGUUCAAGUCUGCUGUCAAAGACCGGGGCUUAACUUCGGAAAGGAAGUGGAAACUGAACAGCUAGAGUAUGGUAGGGGCAGAGGGAAUUCCUGGGGUAGCGGUGAAAUGCGUAGAGAUCAGGAAGAACAUCGGUGGCGAAGGCGCUCUGCUGGACCAUAACUGACACUGAGGGACGAAAGCUAGGGGAGCG
Molecule: ribosomal RNA, 391 nt
Filed under: uncultured Oscillatoria sp.
Lineage: Bacteria; Bacillati; Cyanobacteriota; Cyanophyceae; Oscillatoriales; Oscillatoriaceae
Also listed under: 1 other name
Description: bacterial SSU rRNA
Rfam family: Bacterial small subunit ribosomal RNA
Source: RNAcentral